Molecule: ribosomal RNA, 429 nt
Filed under: Pseudomonadota bacterium
Lineage: Bacteria; Pseudomonadati; Pseudomonadota
Description: Proteobacteria bacterium partial 16S ribosomal RNA
Rfam family: Bacterial small subunit ribosomal RNA
Source: RNAcentral
UGGGGAAUAUUGGACAAUGGGCGAAAGCCUGAUCCAGCCAUGCCGCGUGUGUGAAGAAGGUCUUAGGAUUGUAAAGCACUUUAAGUUGGGAGGAAGGGCAGUAAGCGAAUACCUUGCUGUUUUGACGUUACCGACAGAAUAAGCACCGGCUAACUCUGUGCCAGCAGCCGCGGUAAUACAGAGGGUGCAAGCGUUAAUCGGAAUUACUGGGCGUAAAGCGCGCGUAGGUGGUUCGUUAAGUUGAAUGUGAAAGCCCCGGGCUCAACCUGGGAACUGCAUCCAAAACUGGCGGGCUAGAGUAGGGCAGAGGGUGGUGGAAUUUCCUGUGUAGCGGUGAAAUGCGUAGAUAUAGGAAGGAACACCAGUGGCGAAGGCGACCACCUGGGCUCAUACUGACACUGAGGUGCGAAAGCGUGGGGAGCAAACAGG